RNAcentral lists this ribosomal RNA (1479 nucleotides) under metagenome. Its description in RNAcentral is "bacterial SSU rRNA". It matches the Rfam family "Bacterial small subunit ribosomal RNA". The record is from RNAcentral.
AGAGUUUGAUCCUGGCUCAGGACGAACGCUGGCGGCGUGCUUAACACAUGCAAGUCGAACGGUGAAGCAGAGCUUGCUCUGUGGAUCAGUGGCGAACGGGUGAGUAACACGUGAGUAACCUGCCCUUGACUCUGGGAUAAGCGUUGGAAACGACGUCUAAUACCGGAUACGACCUUCGGAGGCAUCUCCUGGGGGUGGAAAGAAUUUUGGUCAAGGAUGGACUCGCGGCCUACCAGCUAGUUGGUGAGGUAAUGGCUCACCAAGGCGACGACGGGUAGCCGGCCUGAGAGGGUGACCGGCCACACUGGGACUGAGACACGGCCCAGACUCCUACGGGAGGCAGCAGUGGGGAAUAUUGCACAAUGGGCGCAAGCCUGAUGCAGCAACGCCGCGUGAGGGAUGACGGCCUUCGGGUUGUAAACCUCUUUUAGUAGGGAAGAAGCGAAAGUGACGGUACCUGCAGAAAAAGCACCGGCUAACUACGUGCCAGCAGCCGCGGUAAUACGUAGGGUGCAAGCGUUGUCCGGAAUUAUUGGGCGUAAAGAGCUCGUAGGCGGUUUGUCGCGUCUGCUGUGAAAACUGGAGGCUCAACCUCCAGCCUGCAGUGGGUACGGGCAGACUAGAGUGCGGUAGGGGAGAUUGGAAUUCCUGGUGUAGCGGUGGAAUGCGCAGAUAUCAGGAGGAACACCGAUGGCGAAGGCAGAUCUCUGGGCCGUAACUGACGCUGAGGAGCGAAAGCGUGGGGAGCGAACAGGAUUAGAUACCCUGGUAGUCCACGCCGUAAACGUUGGGAACUAGAUGUGGGGACCAUUCCACGGUCUCCGUGUCGCAGCUAACGCAUUAAGUUCCCCGCCUGGGGAGUACGGCCGCAAGGCUAAAACUCAAAGGAAUUGACGGGGGCCCGCACAAGCGGCGGAGCAUGCGGAUUAAUUCGAUGCAACGCGAAGAACCUUACCAAGGCUUGACAUAUACGAGAACGGGCCAGAAAUGGUCAACUCUUUGGACACUCGUAAACAGGUGGUGCAUGGUUGUCGUCAGCUCGUGUCGUGAGAUGUUGGGUUAAGUCCCGCAACGAGCGCAACCCUCGUUCUAUGUUGCCAGCACGUAAUGGUGGGAACUCAUAGGAGACUGCCGGGGUCAACUCGGAGGAAGGUGGGGAUGACGUCAAAUCAUCAUGCCCCUUAUGUCUUGGGCUUCACGCAUGCUACAAUGGCCGGUACAAAGGGCUGCAAUACCGUAAGGUGGAGCGAAUCCCAAAAAGCCGGUCUCAGUUCGGAUUGAGGUCUGCAACUCGACCUCAUGAAGUCGGAGUCGCUAGUAAUCGUGGAUCAGCAACGCCACGGUGAAUACGUUCCCGGGCCUUGUACACACCGCCCGUCAAGUCAUGAAAGUCGGUAACACCCGAAGCCAGUGGCCCAACCGUAAGGAGGGAGCUGUCGAAGGUGGGAUCGGUGAUUAGGACUAAGUCGUAACAAGGUA